GCCGUGGACAACACGUGAAAGAGUGAGGGCUGCUGUGCGCCCGUGAAACGCCACAAACACAGGCACCGAGACGCAGCUGGCCGGCUCCUGCUCCAGACGCACCUGCAGCCACACAGCCUUAGGGCUCCUCGGCUGUCCUGG
Molecule: long non-coding RNA, 141 nt
Filed under: Sus scrofa (pig)
Lineage: Eukaryota; Metazoa; Chordata; Mammalia; Artiodactyla; Suidae
Description: lncRNA (ENSSSCG00065054046.1)
Source: RNAcentral